CCAGCUCAACCUGUAGAAUUGCCAUUGAUACUGUUAGUCUUGAAUUGUUAUGAAGUAGCUAGAAUAUGUAGUGUAGCGGUGAAAUGCAUAGAUAUUACAUAGAAUACCAAUUGCGAAGGCAGGCUACUAAUAAUUGAUUGACACUGAUGGACGAAAGCGUGGGGAGCGAACAGGAUUAGAUACCCUGGUAGUCCACGCCGUAAACGAUGGUUACUAGCUGUCCGGCUCGAUUGAGAGCUGGGUGGCCAAGCGAAAGUGAUAAGUAACCCACCUGGGGAGUACGUUCGCAAGAAUGAAACUCAAAGGAAUUGACGGGGGCCCGCACAAGCGGUGGAGCAUGUGGUUUAAUUCGAUGAUACGCGAGGAACCUUACCAGGGCUUAAAUGUAGUCUGACAGAUUUGGAAACAGAUUUUUCUUCGGACAGAUUACAAGGUGCUGCAUGGUUGUCGUCAGCUCGUGCCGUGAGGUGUCAGGUUAAGUCCUAUAACGAGCGCAACCCCUGUUGUUAGUUGCCAUCGAGUAAUGUCGGGAACUCUAACAAGACUGCCAGUGCAAACUGUGAGGAAGGUGGGGAUGACGUCAAAUCAUCACGGCCCUUACGUCCUGGGCCACACACGUGCUACAAUGGUAGGUACAGAGAGCAGCCACGUCGCAAGGCGGAGCGAAUCUAUAAAACCUAUCACAGUUCGGAUCGGGGUCUGCAACUCGACCCCGUGAAGCUGGAAUCGCUAGUAAUCGCAUAUCAGCCAUGAUGCGGUGAAUACGUUCCCGGGCCUUGUACACACCGCCCGUCAAGCCAUGGAAGCUGGGGGUACCUGAAGUCCGUCACCGCAAGGAGCGGCCUAGGGUAAAACCGGUAACUGGGGCUAAGUCGUAACAAGGUA
Molecule: ribosomal RNA, 885 nt
Filed under: uncultured Leeuwenhoekiella sp.
Lineage: Bacteria; Pseudomonadati; Bacteroidota; Flavobacteriia; Flavobacteriales; Flavobacteriaceae
Description: bacterial SSU rRNA
Rfam family: Bacterial small subunit ribosomal RNA
Source: RNAcentral